Molecule: ribosomal RNA, 253 nt
Filed under: uncultured bacterium
Lineage: Bacteria
Description: partial 16S ribosomal RNA
Rfam family: Bacterial small subunit ribosomal RNA
Source: RNAcentral
UACGUAGGGUGCAAGCGUUGUCCGGAAUUAUUGGGCGUAAAGAGCUCGUAGGCGGUUCGUCGCGUCGGCUGUGAAAUCCCGAGGCUCAACCUCGGGUCUGCAGUCGAUACGGGCGGACUGGAGUUCGGCAGGGGAGACUGGAAUUCCUGGUGUAGCGGUGAAAUGCGCAGAUAUCAGGAGGAACACCGGUGGCGAAGGCGGGUCUCUGGGCCGAUACUGACGCUGAGGAGCGUAAGCGUGGGGAGCGAACAGG